GGGAACGGAGCAGCUCUUGUCACAAGUCUCCAGGUGCCUCAGAGACACAGCGGGAAAGAUCGGGAAAGAUCUGGCCCUGUGCGGCGGCUUCUCCGACCUUGGGACCAGACUGCAGACUGCCCCUCACCGUUCCUCUUCCACAGUGAUGUUCCGGCGCCCCGCGCACAGGUGCUUCCACACGCAGUUUGGGAACCGCAGAGCCCAGCCCAAAGCAUCACCCCGAGUGCAGACAUCGCGUGCUUUGGGAGCGGAAGUAGCUGGCGUCACAGGGAACGCAUGCUGGUGGCUCUUGGGGCAGGGGCCUGGGGGUGACUGUUUUGGAGGUGGCUGUACCCUGAGCCCCAUCCCACUUGCCGGUCCUCUCUGUGGGUGGUACCUUGACCCAGGCCAACCUUUCAGCCGUCCUCGACAUGGAGGGCUCAGGAUCCCAGGCCGGCCGGAGGUAUCCCGCCCUCUUGGUCUGAAAAGACAUCACAGCCAGGCCCCACACUGCCGACUGCAGAAAGAUGGCCUCUUAGGAUUGCAUCUGGGACCUCACAGCUAAAGCAAGAAAAACAUCCUUAGGUGCGGGGGACCAGCCCACGCACCAGAGUCUAAGGGUCCCUGAGUAGGGGGUUGGUGUCGGCGAAAUAUCUACAAGAAAGAACACAGACAUCAUGAAUGGUGGAAGAGACCACACUUUACUGUGAAACUUGGUGUCUUAUAUACCACAGGUGAUUACAUCUUUCUUUUAAUGAUUACAUUGUUUGUAACUUCUUAGGAAUCACAUGCUUCAGAAUAGAUCAUUGUUUUCACGAAAGAGAGAACAGAAAAUUAAAGACAGGAAUGAGGUACAAUACAGAAGAUCA
This 848-nucleotide long non-coding RNA is filed under the name Suricata suricatta (meerkat). RNAcentral describes it as "lncRNA (ENSSSUG00005016634.1)". The record is from RNAcentral. Lineage: Eukaryota; Metazoa; Chordata; Mammalia; Carnivora; Herpestidae.